GACGAACGCUGGCGGCGCGCCUAACACAUGCAAGUCGAACGAGCGAGAGGAGGUUUACUUUCUCAAGCGAGUGGCGAACGGGUGAGUAACGCGUGAGGAACCUGCCUCAAAGGGGGGGACAACAGUUGGAAACGACUGCUAAUACCGCAUAAGCCCACGACCCCGCAUCGGGUAGAGGGAAAAGGAGCAAUCCGCUUUGGGAUGGCCUCGCGUCCGAUUAGCUAGUUUGUGAGGUAAUGGCCCACCAAGGGGACGAUCGGUAGCCGGACUGAGAGGUUGAACGGCCACAUUGGGACUGAGACACGGCCCAGACUACUACGGGAGGCAGCAGUGGGGAAUAUUGCACAAUGGGGGAAACCCUGAUGCAGCGACGCCGCGUGGAGGAAGAAGGUCUUCGGAUUGUAAACUCCUGUUGUUGAGGAAGAUAAUGACGGUACUCAACAAGGAAGUGACGGCUAACUACGUG
RNAcentral lists this ribosomal RNA (466 nucleotides) under uncultured bacterium. Its description in RNAcentral is "partial 16S ribosomal RNA". It matches the Rfam family "Bacterial small subunit ribosomal RNA", at positions 28 to 507 of the family's 1533-position model. The record is from RNAcentral.